UUAACUUCUGGCAGUGAAUUCCAGGGCCCCUCUCCUCAUUCUGCAUGAGCUGAGAGGGGUCUUUUUCUAGCCAUGGUGAGGAUUGUCUGGGACGGACCAGUGGGUGGGACUGGGAAUCUGGGCUCUACGUGGCUAAUUCAGGGUCUAAUUUGUGGGGCCCCAGGGAGCAGCUGAAUGCUUCCCCAGGUGCACAGCUGGCUUCUUGUAGUGUUGCUAUUAUGGGAUUACUGGAAAUGGCAAACUGAGCAUCAAGCAGCAGGACCUCUUUCCUCGGACUCUGAGGGAAAGUUAGCAGCAACAGCUCCUGCUCGUGGCAAUCUUUGGCUGGAGGAAGGGAGUGGACAGUGGAGGGGAGGAUGCUCCUCUUGUGAGGAGAAUACACCCUCCGUUUCAAAGCUCUCUAAGGGAUAAGUCUGUAUUCUGUGGUCAUUCCUAGCCAGCUUCUCAAGUUGUUUUGUAAGACCCAAAUAUCUCUUCUAACAUUUAGCAAGUAGGUAACACUGACUGAGCACUGCCUCUUUGAAGAAUGUAUGAGGAGAUACAAAGGAACACAGGCACGUGCUCCUUGAAUUUAAAAUGUACUUGAUUUCAAUUCCCCAAAGAACAAAGAAUUAGAAUUGAUAGAGUUAAUGACAGAAGUAUCAAAAAUAUAUGAAAGGAGCUAUAAAAACUGGGACAUGUCAACGUUGUUCUAUUUGCUACGUAGCAGUGUUUGUUAAAAAAUCGCAUUUUAAUGUCGGGAUAGAAAAUAAAAACAGAAAAAUUAUGAGCACAUGAGAGGUUAGGAAUAGCAGGGUCUGAGCAGCAGGCCAGGGAUGGCCUUCCAUGUCUUGGGUCUUUUCUACCUUUCCAUCUUCACCACAGGUUGGAGUAGCCUAACUUCCUCGUUGCUUGUUUCUUAAGUCUUCUUAAAACUGUUCUGUCCCUAACUGUUCUGUCAAUCCCAAAGCCUUCUUUUCUAUUUUUCUCACCUGGCCUAGGAACCCUCAUGCAAACAGGUCACCCUGCAGCCUGCCUACACAGUCCAGAGGCCCCAAGAGGGUUUUGCAGAGAAGCCCUGUCUAGACACCCAGUAUGGAUGUCAACAGCUGAGGGCAGGUUGCCUGUGGGGAGGGCUACUAACACAAAGAGGGACCCAUCACCCAGGACCACAGUGUUGUCAAGGAAAGACACUGGAGGAGAUGCGCUGUCAGCAAUGUUCUGCCAGUGCAGAUCUUCGGAGAGACCUGGGGCAUCAGAUGUGCAGAGAGGGUGUGAAGAUCCUGCCAUCCACUCUGGUAUGAAGGCCUCUGUGUCUCAAAGAUGAGGAGAGAAGAAAGCUCAGGUCUAAAAUAUUUGGAUUAAAUAUGCUUAUUCAAUUUUUAUUUGCAGAAUUAAAUCCAUUUGGCCAGGCUAGAAGCUUGCUCACUUUGUAGAAACUGACUCAAGCUUGUAUAUGAAAAGUUCUGGGAAAUGGGAGGAUUCAGGACCUGAGGAGGUAAAAUGAGGGCAAUUUGGGGGCUAAUGAGACUGUGGUCUCUUUUCUCGCCUUUUGUUAAAUGGGUAACAUAACAGAUGCACAGGGGAGGAAGGUGGACCCAAUAAAGCCAGCAAAGUAACGAUGAAGCCAAUAUGAGUGCUUAAUGACAUCUGCAGAGCUUGUCUGGGAAUACGCAAGGUUUUGAUGACAGAGAUGCCCAAACCUUCCUCUUAUGAUGGUUGGGCUAUUAGUAUAUUUUUUGAGAAGAGAAAGCUAAUGGGUACCUCAAAACCUACCAGCUUCUGGUGUAGAAGGAAGU
Molecule: long non-coding RNA, 1778 nt
Organism: Macaca mulatta (Rhesus monkey)
Lineage: Eukaryota; Metazoa; Chordata; Mammalia; Primates; Cercopithecidae
Source: Ensembl